Molecule: transfer RNA, 69 nt
Filed under: Leiodidae sp. BMNH 1274324
Lineage: Eukaryota; Metazoa; Arthropoda; Insecta; Coleoptera; Leiodidae
Description: tRNA-Tyr
Rfam family: tRNA
About the family: Transfer RNA (tRNA) molecules are approximately 80 nucleotides in length.
Source: RNAcentral
GAUAAUGUGGCUGAGAAAUUUAAGCAAUAAAUUGUAAAUUUAUUUACAGGAGUAUCCUCCUUAUUAUCA